GAUGAACGCUAGCGGCAGGCCUAAUACAUGCAAGUCGAGGGGCAGCAAGCUGUAGCAAUACAGUGUUGGCGACCGGCAAACGGGUGCGUAACACGUACAUAACCUUCCUUUAACUGGGGCAUAACUUAUAGAAAUGUUUGCUAAUUCCCCAUAGUAUCAAUUUGCGGCAUCGCGAGUUGAUUAAAGUUUUUCGGUUAAAGAUGGAUGUGCGUCUGAUUAUGAUAGUUGGUGAGGUAACUGCUCACCAAGCCGACGAUCAGUAACUGGUGUGAGAGCACGACCAGUCACACGGGCACUGAGACACGGGCCCGACUCCUACGGGAGGCAGCAGUAAGGAAUAUUAUGCAAUGGACGAAAGUCUGACAUAGCCAUGCCGCGUGCAGGAUGAAGGCGCUCUGCGUUGUAAACUGCUUUUAUUCGGGAAGAAAUCUCCGUUUCUACGGAAGUUGACGGUACCGGAUGAAUGAGCACCGGCUAACUCCGUGCCAGCCGCCGCCGUAACAC
This 504-nucleotide ribosomal RNA is filed under the name uncultured bacterium. RNAcentral's name for it is "bacterial SSU rRNA". It matches the Rfam family "Bacterial small subunit ribosomal RNA", at positions 28 to 526 of the family's 1533-position model. The record is from RNAcentral.